AUCCUCUUUUGUAGAGACUGACAAAAGUAAUUCUUUUGGUCUCUGCUUGUUCAUCAUGUGCUCCAAUUCGCUAUGCUUUUACAGAUACGAUGCAACUUCAGGCAAAAGCAGCACACUAAACUGGACCAAGAGUUCACUGUCCUGUCUCUGAUCAAUAAACAAGACAGGUGUGAAACCCCAUAAGAGAAAACAAUGCAGUAACAUUCAAGGUCUCCAUGAAGGAGAACUGUAAAUCUGGAAAGUUAGAAGAUCUUUCCCCGUCAAGGUCAAGCCAUAAGUCACCAGGUCUCUUGCUUGCAUGUUGUUCAACUCCUUUCUUGUCAACUGGAAGCCAUCAACGAGCUAAACAGGCCCCAGGCCUGUGAGAGAGAGAGAGAGAUGUGCUUUCAGCGCUUUGACUGGACAGAACUUCAAAUUUCUGCACACUUCUGCAGCCUCACCAUUGCCCCAGAGCAGGUUUAGUUGGUUUUGCAGAACCUGGGAGUCAAUGUCAUUUAGGCUUCCAUUCGGUGCAAACCUUAAAUCAUCGGAUGUAUCUUGACAAGAGCUAAGAAACCAGCUUAUCAAUUUAGAAGAACCUGAGGCAAGUGACUGAAAAAGUUGUGCUGAAUCUCUAAAGCAGUACUUAGAUGAGAAUUUGGGCAGUGUGUGUCUGUCACUGUUCUGUUUUACUUCCAGUA
Molecule: long non-coding RNA, 680 nt
Filed under: Struthio camelus australis
Lineage: Eukaryota; Metazoa; Chordata; Aves; Struthioniformes; Struthionidae
Description: lncRNA (ENSSCUG00000009946.1)
Source: RNAcentral